UACGUAGGGUGCAAGCGUUAAUCGGAAUUACUGGGCGUAAAGCGUGCGUAGGCGGCUUCAUAAGUCAAAGGUGAAAUCCCUCGGCUCAACUGAGGAACUGCCUUUGAAACUGUGGAGCUUGAGGCCGGGAGGGGGUAGCGGAAUUCCCAGUGUAGCGGUGAAAUGCGUAGAUAUUGGGAGGAACACCAGUGGCGAAGGCGGCUACCUGGACCGGAACUGACGCUGAUGCGCGAAAGCGUGGGGAGCAAACAGG
This 253-nucleotide ribosomal RNA is filed under the name uncultured bacterium. RNAcentral's name for it is "partial 16S ribosomal RNA". It matches the Rfam family "Bacterial small subunit ribosomal RNA", at positions 524 to 776 of the family's 1533-position model. The record is from RNAcentral.